Molecule: ribosomal RNA, 496 nt
Filed under: uncultured bacterium
Lineage: Bacteria
Description: partial 16S ribosomal RNA
Rfam family: Bacterial small subunit ribosomal RNA
Source: RNAcentral
AUGAACGCUGGCGGCGUGUCUAAUACAUGCAAGUCGAGCGAACAGACGAGGAGCUUGCUCCUCUGACGUUAGCGGCGGACGGGUGAGUAACACGUGGAUAACCUACCUAUAAGACUGGGAUAACUUCGGGAAACCGGAGCUAAUACCGGAUAAUAUAUUGAACCGCAUGGUUCAAUAGUGAAGGACGGUUUUGCUGUCACUUAUAGAUGGAUCCGCGCCGCAUUAGCUAGUUGGUAAGGUAACGGCUUACCAAGGCAACGAUGCGUAGCCGACCUGAGAGGGUGAUCGGCCACACUGGAACUGAGACACGGUCCAGACUCCUACGGGAGGCAGCAGUAGGGAAUCUUCCGCAAUGGGCGAAAGCCUGACGGAGCAACGCCGCGUGAGUGAUGAAGGUCUUCGGAUCGUAAAACUCUGUUAUUAGGGAAGAACAAAUGUGUAAGUAACUAUGCACGUCUUGACGGUACCUAAUCAGAAAGCCACGGCUAACUACGUG